CUACGGGCGGCACCAGUGAGGAAUAUUGCACAAUGGGGGGAACCCUGAUGCAGCAACGCCGCGUGGAGGAUGACGCAUUUCGGUGUGUAAACUCCUUUUAUAUGUCAAGAAAAUGACGGUAGCAUAUGAAUAAGCACCGGCUAACUCCGUGCCAGCAGCCGCGGUAAUACGGAGGGUGCAAGCGUUACUCGGAAUCACUGGGCGUAAAGGACGCGUAGGCGGGCUUGUAAGUCAGGUGUGAAAUCCUACAGCUUAACUGUAGAACUGCACUUGAAACUACGAGUCUAGAGUAUGGGAGGGGAAGAUGGAAUUAGUGGUGUAGGGGUAAAAUCCGUAGAUAUCACUAGGAAUACCUAAAGCGAAGGCGAUCUUCUGGAACAUAACUGACGCUAAGGCGUGAAAGCGUGGGGAGCAAACAGGAUUAGAUACCCUAGUAGUC
RNAcentral lists this ribosomal RNA (439 nucleotides) under uncultured bacterium. RNAcentral's name for it is "partial 16S ribosomal RNA". It matches the Rfam family "Bacterial small subunit ribosomal RNA", at positions 339 to 795 of the family's 1533-position model. The record is from RNAcentral.